RNAcentral lists this transfer RNA (359 nucleotides) under uncultured Microcystis sp. RNAcentral's name for it is "partial 16S-23S ribosomal RNA intergenic spacer". The stretch from base 134 to 207 matches the Rfam family "tRNA". The record is from RNAcentral. Lineage: Bacteria; Bacillati; Cyanobacteriota; Cyanophyceae; Chroococcales; Microcystaceae.
AAAGGGAGACCUAAUUCAGGUAUGGGACGAAAAAAAAGUAGUCCCUACCAAGAAUCAAUCCCAAAAGGUCGGAACGAGGUGUGUGGCUUUCAAACUAGGUUCUGGGUUCACACAAGACCUGAAUCAGGAACAAGGGCUAUUAGCUCAGGUGGUUAGAGCGCACCCCUGAUAAGGGUGAGGUCCCUGGUUCGAGUCCAGGAUGGCCCACCUGUACAGGUGGCAAAAACAAAGAAGCGAGGAAUCAGCACCUUAUCUUAUCUAUAUAUAUAGGAGAGAAUGCUGGCUCUGAGUAAAGAGUCCAGAGGAACCUUGAAAACUGCAUAGAGCUAGGUGAAAAAGCCAAAAAAGAAGACCGCAAG